Molecule: non-coding RNA, 149 nt
Filed under: Acanthisitta chloris (rifleman)
Lineage: Eukaryota; Metazoa; Chordata; Aves; Passeriformes; Acanthisittidae
Source: Rfam by way of RNAcentral
UUUCCCUCAGGACAGCUGGCACUCGUGGUGGGGCAGUUUGACCCUGUAAAGUGAAUGAUUAGAGGUCUUAUGGCCACAACGAUCUCAGUCUAUUCUCAAACUUCUAAAUGCAGAGGAUUUUUUUCUUUUUAAAUCACAAAAUAACGCCA